UAGAUUGAAGCCCGCUGGAUUGGGUUAUUAGUUGUUAACUAAAGGUUUAUGGSAUCGAGGCCCGUCAAUCUAG
Molecule: transfer RNA, 73 nt
Filed under: Bavayia septuiclavis
Lineage: Eukaryota; Metazoa; Chordata; Lepidosauria; Squamata; Diplodactylidae
Description: tRNA-Asn
Source: RNAcentral